CACUGCCGAGAAAAGCCUCUAGAUAGAAAAUAGGUGCCCGUACCGCAAACCGACACAGGUAGUCAAGAUGAGAAUUCUAAGGUGAGCGAGCGAACUCUCGUUAAGGAACUCGGCAAAAUGACCCCGUAACUUCGGGAGAAGGGGUGCUCUUUAGGGUUAACGCCCAGAAGAGCCGCAGUGAAUAGGCCCAAGCGACUGUUUAUCAAAAACACAGGUCUCUGCUAAACCGUAAGGUGAUGUAUAGGGGCUGACGCCUGCCCGGUGCUGGAAGGUUAAGAGGAGUGGUUAGCUUCUGCGAAGCUACGAAUCGAAGCCCCAGUAAACGGCGGCCGUAACUAUAACGGUCCUAAGGUAGCGAAAUUCCUUGUCGGGUAAGUUCCGACCCGCACGAAAGGCGUAACGAUUUGGGCAC
Molecule: ribosomal RNA, 412 nt
Filed under: Staphylococcus aureus
Lineage: Bacteria; Bacillati; Bacillota; Bacilli; Caryophanales; Staphylococcaceae
Description: partial 23S ribosomal RNA
Rfam family: Bacterial large subunit ribosomal RNA
Source: RNAcentral